AUCCUGGCUCAGAACGAAUUUUGGUGGAGUGUCUUAUACAUGCAAGUCGAGCGAGGACGUAGCGAUACGAGCCGAGCGGCGAAUGGGUGAGUAACGCGUAAGCAACCUGCCCCGCACACCGGAACAACCGUGCCAACGCGCGGCUAAUGCCGGGAGCCGUGGUUCCCCGCAUGGGGGAUUGACGAAAGAUUUAUCGGUGCGGGAUGGGCUUGCGUCCGAUUAGCUAGUUGGCGGGGCAACGGCCCACCAAGGCGACGAUCGGUAGCCGGCCUGAGAGGGCGAUCGGCCACAUUGGGACUGAGAGACGGCCCAGACUCCUACGGGAGGCAGCAGUAGGGAAUAUUGCGCAAUGGGGGCAACCCUGACGCAGCAACUCCACGUGUGGGAUGAAGCAUUUCGGUGUGUAAACCACUGUCGGGGGGGAAUAAGGCGGUCUUCCGGGACCGUUGAAUGUACCUCUAGAGGAAGCACCGGCAAACUUCGUGCCAGCAGCCGCGGUAAUACGAGGGGUGCAAGCGUUGUUCGGAAUCACUGGGCGUAAAGGGAGCGUAGGCGGACCGCCAAGCGUUCUGUGCAAUCCCGGGGCCCAACCCCGGACCCGCAGAGCGAACUGGCGGCCUUGAGUGGUCCAGAGGCCGGCGGAAUCCCUGGUGUAGCGGUGGAAUGCGUAGAUAUCAGGAAGAACACCGAUGGCGAAGGCAGCCGGCUGGGGACCAACUGACGCUGAGGCUCGAAGGCGCGGGCAGCAAACAGGAUUAGAUACCCUGGUAGUCCGCGCGGUAAACGAUGCAUACUAGGCGUCCCGGGGCGACCCGGGGUGCCGGAGCUAACGCGUUAAGUAUGCCGCCUGGGGAGUACGUACGCAAGUAUGAAACUCAAAGGAAUUGACGGGGACCCGCACAAGCAGCGGAGCAUGUGGUUUAAUUCGAAGCAACGCGAAGAACCUUACCAGGACUUGACAUCCUUCUGACCGGCCUUUAACCGGGCCUUUCCUUCGGGACAGAAGUGACAGGUGGUGCAUGGUUGUCGUCAGCUCGUGUCGUGAGAUGUUGGGUUAAGUCCCGCAACGAGCGCAACCCUUGUCAUUAGUUGCCAUCAUUGAGUUGGGCACUCUAGUGAGACUGCCGGGGACAACUCGGAGGAAGGUGGGGAUGACGUCAAAUCAUCAUGCCCCUUAUGUUCUGGGCUACACACGUGCUACAAUGGUUGGUACAAAGAGCAGCAAAGUCGUGAGGCGGAGCAAAUCUCAAAAACCAAUCCCAGUUCGGAUUGCAGGCUGCAACCCGCCUGCAUGAAGUUGGAGUUGCUAGUAAUCGUGGAUCAGAAUGCCACGGUGAAUGCGUUCCCGGGUCUUGCACUCACAGCCCGUCAAG
RNAcentral lists this ribosomal RNA (1373 nucleotides) under uncultured bacterium. Its description in RNAcentral is "bacterial SSU rRNA". It matches the Rfam family "Bacterial small subunit ribosomal RNA". The record is from RNAcentral.